CUAUGUUUCGCAAAGCAGAGUUUGGUUUUUUCUUUGAAGGAGGGGCAACUAGUUGAGAUUGCUGGAUCUACAAGAAAACCCAAACCGGAAAAUUCUCUCUCCUCUGUUGUGGUUGUUUACUUCUACUGUUAGUCUUCUCUCCCUGUCUCUCUGGUUUUUUUUCUUCAUCAGCUCAGAGAUUGAAAGGAGGAAAACGGAAGGUUAAGGUGACGAAACCCUAAAAAAGGAGGUGAGGGGGAAGAAAAGUGGAAGACUGUUCGAGUUUGUAUUGCCAUGGCGACGAUGGUGAGUUCUGCAAGUGGGCUCUUGGCGAUGUUGAACGAGCCUCACCCUACGUUGAAGCUCCACGCUCUUUCCAAUCUCAACACAUUUGUUGAUUACUUCUGGCCCGAGAUUUCCACUAGUGUCCCCAUCAUUGAAAGUCUGUAUGAGGAUGAAGGAUUUACACAAAGACCACUGGCUGCAUUGCUUGUUUCUAAGGUACAUCAUGAGCUUCUGAUUUU
Macadamia integrifolia is the source of this 503-nucleotide long non-coding RNA. RefSeq lists it as uncharacterized. The transcript is spliced from 3 exons. NCBI's taxonomy places the organism in Eukaryota, Viridiplantae, Streptophyta, Magnoliopsida, Proteales, Proteaceae. The record is from RefSeq and is a predicted model, not a curated record.